CCCUUAGAUGUCCUGGGCCGCACGCGCGUUACACUGAUGCAUUCAACGAGCUUAUAACCUUGGCCGAGAGGCCUGGGCAAUCUUGUUAACGUGCAUCGUGAUAGGGAUAGAUUAUUGAAAUUAUUAAUCUUGAACGAGGAAUUCCUAGUAAACGCAGAUCAUCAAUCUGCAUUGAAUACGACCCUGUAUUCUGUACACACCGCCCGUCGCUCCUACCGAUUGAAGUUUUCGGUGAGUUGACAGGAGGAUUUUUUUGAAACUGGUUCGCCAGUGGAUUUUAGAUCCAAAUGCCAACGAAUCGAUGGCUUUAGAGGAAGGAGAAGUCGUAACA
Molecule: ribosomal RNA, 331 nt
Filed under: uncultured eukaryote
Lineage: Eukaryota
Description: partial 18S ribosomal RNA
Rfam family: Eukaryotic small subunit ribosomal RNA
Source: RNAcentral